AUCUUAUCUUUACCUACCGCAAACUAGUGUAAUUAGUUUAGUUGCUUACUUUGCCUUGUGUAGCUUAGUUCUCUAGUGUAACUUUUAGAGACUUAGUUCUUGUGUGCAUAGAGAUCAUAACAACUAGAAUUGUUGGGUAGGUGGCUUGCAAACACCCUUUUAGGGCUAGAGCAAAAAGCUUCGCUUUGUUAUUUACUAACCUUUUGCUCUAGUGAGUUUGUAGAUUUUUUAAAUAGGCUAUUCACCCCCC
RNAcentral lists this long non-coding RNA (250 nucleotides) under Sorghum bicolor (sorghum). RNAcentral's name for it is "long non-coding RNA (SBIC_LNC002394)". Lineage: Eukaryota; Viridiplantae; Streptophyta; Magnoliopsida; Poales; Poaceae. The record is from RNAcentral.